UACACGGUGCAACAGCUCACAAAGAGAAGUCAUGGAUUCCCUCUGAUUGGAGGUUGUCUUUAAAAACAGUUCUGCCACAUGGAGAAAAGAGAGGAACAAUUCCAAUAUUGACAAUGGUCUAGAAGUACCUGUGGAUUCUGGCUAAACUUCAUGAGACUGUGUACCUUUUGUGCCUACUGUGGGCUCAAGCUCAGCCACCUUCUCAGAGCCAUUCAGAAAAUGAAGAGGAAAAAAAUCUAAGGGCUCC
Long non-coding RNA from Neogale vison (American mink), 247 nucleotides. RefSeq lists it as uncharacterized. NCBI's taxonomy places the organism in Eukaryota, Metazoa, Chordata, Mammalia, Carnivora, Mustelidae. The transcript has 3 exons. The record is from RefSeq and is a predicted model, not a curated record.